CAGUAGCCGCGGUAAGACAGAGGAUGCAAGCGUUAUCCGGAAUGAUUGGGCGUAAAGGGUGCGUAGGCGGUUUGACAAGUCAUCUGUGAAAUCUAUGGGCUCAACCCAUAGUCUGCAGGCGAAACUGUCGGGCUUGAGUAUGGGAGAGGUGAGUGGAAUUUCCGGUGUAGCGGUGAAAUGCGUAGAUAUCGGAAGGAACACCUGUGGCGAAAGCGGCUCACUGGACCAUAACUGACGCUGAGGCACGAAAGCUAGGGGAGCAAACAGGAUUAGAUACCCCCGUAGUCCCUGUCUCUUAUAC
This 301-nucleotide ribosomal RNA is filed under the name uncultured bacterium. RNAcentral's name for it is "partial 16S ribosomal RNA". It matches the Rfam family "Bacterial small subunit ribosomal RNA", at positions 509 to 807 of the family's 1533-position model. The record is from RNAcentral.